UGGGGAAUAUUGGACAAUGGGCGAAAGCCUGAUCCAGCAAUACCGCGUGUGUGAAGAAGGCCUGAGGGUUGUAAAGCACUUUCAAUAGGAAGGAAUACCUAUCGGUUAAUACCCGGUAGACUGACAUUACCUAUACAAGAAGCACCGGCUAACUCCGUGCCAGCAGCCGCGGUAAUACGGAGGGUGCAAGCGUUAAUCGGAAUUACUGGGCGUAAAGCGUGCGUAGGCGGUUAUUUAAGUCAGAUGUGAAAGCCCUGGGCUUAACCUGGGAACUGCAUUUGAUACUGGAUGACUAGAGUUGAGUAGAGGAGAGUGGAAUUUCAGGUGUAGCGGUGAAAUGCGUAGAGAUCUGAAGGAACACCAGUGGCGAAGGCGGCUCUCUGGACUCAAACUGACGCUGAGGUACGAAAGCGUGGGUAGCAAACA
This 426-nucleotide ribosomal RNA is filed under the name uncultured Methylomonas sp. Its description in RNAcentral is "partial 16S ribosomal RNA". It matches the Rfam family "Bacterial small subunit ribosomal RNA", at positions 355 to 774 of the family's 1533-position model. Lineage: Bacteria; Pseudomonadati; Pseudomonadota; Gammaproteobacteria; Methylococcales; Methylococcaceae. The record is from RNAcentral.